GAUGAACGCUGGCGGCGUGCCUAACACAUGCAAGUCGAGCGAGGGGAGUUCUUCGGAACAAACCUAGCGGCGGACGGGUGAGUAACACGUGGGCAACCUGCCUCAUAGAGGGGAAUAGCCUUCCGAAAGGGAGAUUAAUACCCCAUAAGAUUGUAGCUUCGCAUGAAGUAGCAAUUAAAGGAGCAAUCCGCUAUGAGAUGGGCCCGCGGCGCAUUAGCUAGUAGGUGAGGUAACGGCUCACCAAGGCGACGAUGCGUAGCCGACCUGAGAGGGGGAUCGGCCACAUUGGGACUGAGACACGGCCCAGACUCAUACGGGAGGCAGCAGUGGGGAAUAUUGCACAAUAGGGGAAACCCUGAUGCAGCAACGCCGCGUGAGUGAUGAAGGCCUUCGGGUUGUAAAGCUCUGUCUUCAGGGACGAUAAUGACGGUACCUGAGGAGGAAGCCACGGCUAACUACGUGCCAGCCGCCGCCGAA
This 477-nucleotide ribosomal RNA is filed under the name uncultured bacterium. RNAcentral describes it as "partial 16S ribosomal RNA". It matches the Rfam family "Bacterial small subunit ribosomal RNA", at positions 28 to 522 of the family's 1533-position model. The record is from RNAcentral.